UCAGAUUCUCCCACGAGCCCCUUGAGGUCGACGAAGCCAUGAUUAUAAAUUCCUCCUGUCACAAAUGAGGAAGCCAAGGCUUAGAGAGAUUGCACGGCACAGCUGAGACUGAAUUUCAAAUGUCUUGAUUCUCUGCAGAGUGACCUGUCCCCAUUCCAAUCUGGUCAUUUGGCAGAACUCUUGUUGCUGCGGGAGAAGAGUCCAAACAAAACAGAGGAUGGAUCCUGUCCACAUGCCCUUGACAUGUUCUGGGACAUGAUUCCUAACACUCUCAUGUUAUGAAUUUCCUGAGGACUCUUCUGUGAUGACCUCUGUGUGCUUAACCAAUAUCGUAAGCAUCAAUUGUUUUGGAAUAAAACAAAAUAAAAUCAACCACAUAAAAAAACUUUUAUCAGAAAGCAUUUGGUACAGAGUUUGCUGGAAAAUUCCUCAUGUUUCAUGUCUCCUUUUUUUGAUCCCAUUUUUGAUUGACAGUGGAUGGAGGUGGUCAAUAUACCAGAGCGCCAUGAAGUGACAAAGAGCAUUUCUUGAAGAAACCUCAGCAGAGUGAUGGGUGAUCAUUUGGUUCGAUAACACCAAAGGCUGGAUGAAUUUACCCAGAGAGGACCGUAAUGAAAAUCUGAAAUAACCUUUAUAAUUUUCAAGUGAGGAAAUGAAGGCCAAACAUGAGAGGCUACAAUAAGAGUAUACUGGGCAUUGUGCCAAGAACAGGGGAUAUAAUGAUGAACAAGAAAAAGAUACAAACAAAUAAGGGAUGAUCUGUGCUACUUUGAGGAAAAACUCAAAGCGACCAGGAAAGAAAGAAAGAUGAUGGAUCCGGGAGCAUGGUAUUUUAAGAACACAAGCAAUUCCUUCUGUGUAUCACUGCCAUGAUGCUGGAAACACUGCAUCGCCAGUAACCAGCAGAGAGCCUGGGACAUAGCAGGCAUGUGAUCAUGUCGAAUAACAACACUCACGAAUAAAUGAAAGGCACUUUUAGAACAAUAGGAUGUUGAAUUUAUGGUGUCAUAAAAUAAAUCAGUUCCACAUUUUG
This is a long non-coding RNA of Herpailurus yagouaroundi (jaguarundi), 1033 nucleotides long. RefSeq lists it as uncharacterized. The transcript has 5 exons. The record is from RefSeq and is a predicted model, not a curated record. NCBI's taxonomy places the organism in Eukaryota, Metazoa, Chordata, Mammalia, Carnivora, Felidae.